UUAAGCGACUAAGCGUACACGGUGGAUGCCCUGGCAGUCAGAGGCGAUGAAGGACGUGCUAAUCUGCGAUAAGCGUCGGUAAGGUGAUAUGAACCGUUAUAACCGGCGAUUUCCGAAUGGGGAAACCCAGUGUGUUUCGACACACUAUCAUUAACUGAAUCCAUAGGUUAAUGAGGCGAACCGGGGGAACUGAAACAUCUAAGUACCCCGAGGAAAAGAAAUCAACCGAGAUUCCCCCAGUAGCGGCGAGCGAACGGGGAGCAGCCCAGAGCCUGAAUCAGUGUGUGUGUUAGUGGAAGCGUCUGGAAAGGCGCGCGAUACAGGGUGACAGCCCCGUACACAAAAAUGCACAUAUUGUGAGCUCGAUGAGUAGGGCGGGACACGUGGUAUCCUGUCUGAAUAUGGGGGGACCAUCCUCCAAGGCUAAAUACUCCUGACUGACCGAUAGUGAACCAGUACCGUGAGGGAAAGGCGAAAAGAACCCCGGCGAGGGGAGUGAAAAAGAACCUGAAACCGUGUACGUACAAGCAGUGGGAGCACGCUUAGGCGUGUGACUGCGUACCUUUUGUAUAAUGGGUCAGCGACUUAUAUUCUGUAGCAAGGUUAACCGAAUAGGGGAGCCGAAGGGAAACCGAGUCUUAACUGGGCGUUAAGUUGCAGGGUAUAGACCCGAAACCCGGUGAUCUAGCCAUGGGCAGGUUGAAGGUUGGGUAACACUAACUGGAGGACCGAACCGACUAAUGUUGAAAAAUUAGCGGAUGACUUGUGGCUGGGGGUGAAAGGCCAAUCAAACCGGGAGAUAGCUGGUUCUCCCCGAAAGCUAUUUAGGUAGCGCCUCGUGAACUCAUCUCCGGGGGUAGAGCACUGUUUCGGCAAGGGGGUCAUCCCGACUUACCAACCCGAUGCAAACUGCGAAUACCGGAGAAUGUUAUCACGGGAGACACACGGCGGGUGCUAACGUCCGUCGUGAAGAGGGAAACAACCCAGACCGCCAGCUAAGGUCCCAAAGUCAUGGUUAAGUGGGAAACGAUGUGGGAAGGCCCAGACAGCCAGGAUGUUGGCUUAGAAGCAGCCAUCAUUUAAAGAAAGCGUAAUAGCUCACUGGUCGAGUCGGCCUGCGCGGAAGAUGUAACGGGGCUAAACCAUGCACCGAAGCUGCGGCAGCGACGCUUAUGCGUUGUUGGGUAGGGGAGCGUUCUGUAAGCCUGUGAAGGUGUGCUGUGAGGCAUGCUGGAGGUAUCAGAAGUGCGAAUGCUGACAUAAGUAACGAUAAAGCGGGUGAAAAGCCCGCUCGCCGGAAGACCAAGGGUUCCUGUCCAACGUUAAUCGGGGCAGGGUGAGUCGACCCCUAAGGCGAGGCCGAAAGGCGUAGUCGAUGGGAAACAGGUUAAUAUUCCUGUACUUGGUGUUACUGCGAAGGGGGACGGAGAAGGCUAUGUUGGCCGGGCGACGGUUGUCCCGGUUUAAGCGUGUAGGCUGGUUUUCCAGGCAAAUCCGGAAAAUCAAGGCUGAGGCGUGAUGACGAGGCACUACGGUGCUGAAGCAACAAAUGCCCUGCUUCCAGGAAAAGCCUCUAAGCAUCAGGUAACAUCAAAUCGUACCCCAAACCGACACAGGUGGUCAGGUAGAGAAUACCAAGGCGCUUGAGAGAACUCGGGUGAAGGAACUAGGCAAAAUGGUGCCGUAACUUCGGGAGAAGGCACGCUGAUAUGUAGGUGAAGUCCCUUGCGGAUGGAGCUGAAAUCAGUCGAAGAUACCAGCUGGCUGCAACUGUUUAUUAAAAACACAGCACUGUGCAAACACGAAAGUGGACGUAUACGGUGUGACGCCUGCCCGGUGCCGGAAGGUUAAUUGAUGGGGUCAGCGCAAGCGAAGCUCUUGAUCGAAGCCCCGGUAAACGGCGGCCGUAACUAUAACGGUCCUAAGGUAGCGAAAUUCCUUGUCGGGUAAGUUCCGACCUGCACGAAUGGCGUAAUGAUGGCCAGGCUGUCUCCACCCGAGACUCAGUGAAAUUGAACUCGCUGUGAAGAUGCAGUGUACCCGCGGCAAGACGGAAAGACCCCGUGAACCUUUACUAUAGCUUGACACUGAACAUUGAGCCUUGAUGUGUAGGAUAGGUGGGAGGCUUUGAAGUGUGGACGCCAGUCUGCAUGGAGCCGACCUUGAAAUACCACCCUUUAAUGUUUGAUGUUCUAACGUUGACCCGUAAUCCGGGUUGCGGACAGUGUCUGGUGGGUAGUUUGACUGGGGCGGUCUCCUCCUAAAGAGUAACGGAGGAGCACGAAGGUUGGCUAAUCCUGGUCGGACAUCAGGAGGUUAGUGCAAUGGCAUAAGCCAGCUUGACUGCGAGCGUGACGGCGCGAGCAGGUGCGAAAGCAGGUCAUAGUGAUCCGGUGGUUCUGAAUGGAAGGGCCAUCGCUCAACGGAUAAAAGGUACUCCGGGGAUAACAGGCUGAUACCGCCCAAGAGUUCAUAUCGACGGCGGUGUUUGGCACCUCGAUGUCGGCUCAUCACAUCCUGGGGCUGAAGUAGGUCCCAAGGGUAUGGCUGUUCGCCAUUUAAAGUGGUACGCGAGCUGGGUUUAGAACGUCGUGAGACAGUUCGGUCCCUAUCUGCCGUGGGCGCUGGAGAACUGAGGGGGGCUGCUCCUAGUACGAGAGGACCGGAGUGGACGCAUCACUGGUGUUCGGGUUGUCAUGCCAAUGGCACUGCCCGGUAGCUAAAUGCGGAAGAGAUAAGUGCUGAAAGCAUCUAAGCACGAAACUUGCCCCGAGAUGAGUUCUCCCUGACCCUUUAAGGGUCCUGAAGGAACGUUGAAGACGACGACGUUGAUAGGCCGGGUGUGUAAGCGCAGCGAUGCGUUGAGCUAACCGGUACUAAUGAACCGUGAGGCUUAACCUU
RNAcentral lists this ribosomal RNA (2901 nucleotides) under Escherichia coli. RNAcentral describes it as "bacterial LSU rRNA". It matches the Rfam family "Bacterial large subunit ribosomal RNA". Lineage: Bacteria; Pseudomonadati; Pseudomonadota; Gammaproteobacteria; Enterobacterales; Enterobacteriaceae. The record is from RNAcentral.